RNAcentral lists this ribosomal RNA (406 nucleotides) under uncultured bacterium. Its description in RNAcentral is "partial 16S ribosomal RNA". It matches the Rfam family "Bacterial small subunit ribosomal RNA", at positions 30 to 526 of the family's 1533-position model. The record is from RNAcentral.
AUUGAACGCUGGCGGCAGGCCUUACACAUGCAAGUCGAACGAGUGGCGGACGGGUGAGUAAUGUAUGGGAACCUGCCUGAUGGCGGGGGAUAACUACUGGAAACGGUAGCUAAUACCGCAUACCAUCGGAUGUGCCGAGAUGGGAUUAGCUAGUGGGUGGGGUAAAGGCUCACCUAGGCGACGAUCCCUAGCUGGUCUGAGAGGAUGACCAGCAACACUGGAACUGAGACACGGUCCAGACUCCUACGGUAGGCAGCAGUGGGGAAUAUUGCACAAUGGGCGCAAGCCUGAUGCAGCCAUGCCGCGUGUAUGAAGAAGGCCUUCGGGUUGUAAAGUACUUUCAGCGGGGAGGCGUUACCCGCAGAAGAAGCACCGGCUAACUCCGUGCCAGCAGCCGCGGUAAUAC